GAGAUGGAUUGGUGCCUUCGGGAACUGUGAGACAGGUGCUGCAUGGCUGUCGUCAGCUCGUGUUGUGAAAUGUUGGGUUAAGUCCCGCAACGAGCGCAACCCUUAUCCUUUGUUGCCAGCGGUUAGGCCGGGAACUCAAAGGAGACUGCCAGUGAUAAACUGGAGGAAGGUGGGGAUGACGUCAAGUCAUCAUGGCCCUUACGACCAGGGCUACACACGUGCUACAAUGGCAUAUACAAAGAGAAGCGA
RNAcentral lists this ribosomal RNA (249 nucleotides) under Klebsiella pneumoniae. Its description in RNAcentral is "partial 16S ribosomal RNA". It matches the Rfam family "Bacterial small subunit ribosomal RNA", at positions 1003 to 1252 of the family's 1533-position model. Lineage: Bacteria; Pseudomonadati; Pseudomonadota; Gammaproteobacteria; Enterobacterales; Enterobacteriaceae. The record is from RNAcentral.